ACCUAUACACGGGUCCGUAUACUGACUGUCAUCUGUGAGUACGCGAAGUUCAACUGUUCGCGUU
RNAcentral lists this transfer RNA (64 nucleotides) under Myoxanthus exasperatus. RNAcentral describes it as "tRNA-Met". Lineage: Eukaryota; Viridiplantae; Streptophyta; Magnoliopsida; Asparagales; Orchidaceae. The record is from RNAcentral.